Molecule: long non-coding RNA, 1041 nt
Organism: Oreochromis aureus
Lineage: Eukaryota; Metazoa; Chordata; Actinopteri; Cichliformes; Cichlidae
Source: Ensembl
GGUGGAUGACUGGAUGUGUAAAGUGCUUUGGGGUCCUUAGGGACUAGUAAAGCGCUAUACAAACACAGGCCAUUUACCAUUUAAUAUGAUGGUUGAUAAUUACCAGUUUGAUUAUUUCAGUCAGAGCUGAAUCUGCUCAGAGAAACAGGAAAGAAGAACUGACACCAAGUUACUUUAAUUCUGUCUGCACAAAGUUAAAGCGUCACAAACCGUCAGUGUGACAUUACAUUAGUGACAGAGGGCUCUUAUUGUAAAAAUCUGUCUGCGCUCAGGUGAAGCCCUGGCUUUCCAGGAAGCAGCUGAACUAUAAGGAAGUAAGUGGAGCUUGUUGUUGCUGUCUUUCCUCCUUUAACAUUUUGUCUUUAGGAACUUAACUGUUUGUUCAGCUCAUGUUUGAUUUCUUCACAACAAACUGUGUUUGUUUUUAUUUCCGGUCUCUCCAUUAAAGUCAGUUUGUAACAUCAGCUGUAACAUGGCUAACAUCAGCGGUGUGCAGCUUAGUUCCAGCACGAACAGCACAAAUCUGCCGCUCCAUAGUUCACGGUAACGGACUCACAGCUGGACCAACCAGGCGGAGUGUGUCCGCCAUCAUGAACUACGUUUGUGUUUGUGUACUUAUAGUUUGUACUUUGUAAGUUCACUCAGAGUCCACAGAGGAUGCAGCGUACGUGAUGAUGUCACAGCCCUUUACCUCCUUUACUGUCACUGUGAUUAAUAUUUACACACCAGACACCUGCAGAGGUCUGACGCUAAGCUAGCCAGACAGCAUGCUAAUGCUAAGUGAACUGAUGAAAGCUGUGUCUCAGAUGGAGUGGAUGUUAGUCCAACACAUCAGACAUGACCUCUGCAGCUCUCGAUGUGCACAUGAAGGAUCAGUGUGAAGACAGAGAGGAGGGAGUCCCUCCCUCUAAAACCACUCUGUGUGGGGAAUAUGAGAGCCAGACCAAAGCUCAGAGGUGAGAUGACCAUCUCUAACUGUCCAUGACGCUUCUCCAUGUCACAGCUCAGCACUCACAUCACUGCUCCAUCAUUAUUCACAGG